GUGAGUAUGAGCUAUACAGAAAAUGAAAGCUCUGGUGUUUCUUACAAGAAGUUGAUUCAUUUUGCUUUAGAAGAAACAAAUACACAUACCCUUUUGUCCCCUUCUCCAUUGCAGGAGAAAUACAGUUCUUUGUUGUCCAUGGAUGACAAAACGGAGCUACAGAUGCUUUCUUUUGAAGCCCAUAAAAUUCGACUCCUUCGCAGUCUAUGUAUUGAAGGGAGCGACGGCAUGCAGGUAUUGGAUUUUGCUGCAUUCCCGAAACCGGAAUUUGAUCUGCCUAUCUUCUGUGCCAACUUUUUCACUACUGCUAAGAUGAACAUAAUUGUACUGGAC
Molecule: unclassified non-coding RNA, 333 nt
Filed under: Hevea brasiliensis (rubber tree)
Lineage: Eukaryota; Viridiplantae; Streptophyta; Magnoliopsida; Malpighiales; Euphorbiaceae
Source: RNAcentral